Molecule: ribosomal RNA, 415 nt
Filed under: Hyperolius kivuensis (Kivu reed frog)
Lineage: Eukaryota; Metazoa; Chordata; Amphibia; Anura; Hyperoliidae
Description: partial 16S ribosomal RNA
Rfam family: Bacterial large subunit ribosomal RNA
Source: RNAcentral
AGCAUAAUCAAUUGUCCUUUAAAUAGGGACUAGUAUGAACGGCACCACGAGGGUUUAACUGUCUCCCCCCCUUAAUUAAUGAAAUUUAUCCUCCCGUGAAGAAGCGGGAAUACUACUAUAAGACGAGAAGACCCUAUGGAGCUUUAAACUUAUUACCAUUUAUUUUAUAAAAUAACAAAUCAUUUAAUAUUAAUGUUCUCUAAUAGUUUUCGGUUGGGGCGACCCUGGAGAAAAACAAAUCCUCCAGAUUGAAAGGAAAUAAUCCUUAUAUAAGAGUUACAACUCAAAUAAACAAAAACUUGACAAAACUGACCCAGAAUUAACUGAUCAGUGAACCAAGUUACCCUAGGGAUAACAGCGCAAUCCAUUUUAAGAGCCCAUAUCGACAAAUGGGUUUACGACCUCGAUGUUGGAU